UCGACCGAUGGCACAACGGGCGGGGACACGGCGAUCAGCACGUCGUCCGUGUCCGGUGCGGUGCGCGCGGCCCACGUCCGAGGCGUGGCGGUCGUG
Molecule: transfer RNA, 96 nt
Filed under: Ralstonia solanacearum
Lineage: Bacteria; Pseudomonadati; Pseudomonadota; Betaproteobacteria; Burkholderiales; Burkholderiaceae
Also listed under: 1 other name
Description: tRNA-Leu
Source: RNAcentral